Long non-coding RNA from Entelurus aequoreus (snake pipefish), 941 nucleotides. RefSeq lists it as uncharacterized. The record is from RefSeq and is a predicted model, not a curated record. The transcript has 4 exons. Lineage: Eukaryota; Metazoa; Chordata; Actinopteri; Syngnathiformes; Syngnathidae.
ACCCGCCCACCUGCAUGCAGCUGUCGAAGAACAAGCCCAGACACGUCUCUUCACGGAGCCCAAGGAAAACACUUUACCGGACUCAUCACUCAUAUGGGAUGGCCCUGUAAAUUGUGCAGCACUGUUGUGCCAACCAAGAGUGAUUUUUUUAAAGCAUUACAGACUGCACCAUGGGACCUUUGGACACAGCCAUGCCUUCCCUUGCAUUCAUAUAGGUUGCCCAUGCUCUUUUAAAUGCUGGAGUUCCCUUCGCUCUCAUCUGUCAAGAUACCACCCAGAAGUCAAAUUCCUCAACUCACCUCAAGUAAGUCCUUCAUUCACCUGCCCUCUGUGUAAAAGGACUGUGCCAGGAGCAUCAAUGAUAUGAUGGGCAGAACGUAUACAGUGGGAGAAGACAGGAAGUUGUUGCCAAGUCUCCUGCUGGGGUGGCAGAAUUUAAGGAAAGAUGGCCUGCCCUCUUCGAACCAUUCCAGAUUAAUGAAGAGUUCCGAAGGUGCACUGCUGUUCCACUAGAAUCAACAUUUAUGUCCCAGCUGGACAGGUAGACUCCAAAACUCCUGGAGCUCUUCAGUGCAAAAGGUGGAGUGACUGGUCAGCGCAUCAAGAACUUGUUGAUGGAACUGAUACAGGACCCAAGUGCCUCUGCAGUGAUAAAGAGAGAUGUGACUUUGAGAUGCCUCAUAGAGUACACGGGAGAGAGUGGACAGGAGCUAAUCUCUGACUACUGUGUAAGUAUUGUUUAAAAGCAGGUUUGGAUCAGUCUGAUGUACAAGCUUAAAUUUGGUUUACUUAUGUGAACUGACUGAACCAGCAGUUGUCAGGUGGAGGUCGAGCAUGCAGCUAGUUGGCAGGAGCCCCAGGAUAGCCAAUUAGCAUAGCACCACAGAGUGAUGCCUUUCUGUCUUGUGUUUCUGUUUGCCCUAAAAAAAACAAUGCAAACA